ACACACAGAGCGGGAACGGAAGGUUAUGGGAUGCUUUUAUUAGAACGUCCCAGCGUCCUUUGCUCCAGUUUUUAAAGCCCCGAUGGAGCAGAAGAUCUGCUUUUAAAGAAAAGGCCUCGUUUUUACAGAAGUGCUUUGAUUGAACGCAGUACAACCUGCUGUGAGGUAAACUCUGACACUAUUCGCUCACUAACUCAUUAAGUCAUCAGGAAAGCACGCCAUUCUUCUUAAAUUACACCGAGACGAACGAUUAAAGUACGUAAUACGCGUUUGCUAGUUUUGAGAACGAGCUAAAGUAAGUAAAUAUGAGUUAGUAACAGUAACGUUAUCUUAUCUAGCUUAUCUUAGCUUAUUUUCCCUGAGCUUCACUCCACUACGCUCCUCAGAGAACACGUUUAGUUCGCGUAACGUUUUUUGAACGUCACAGUUCUGCCGAUUUUUGGUUGCUAUAAACGUUUUCUGGAUCUUCUGAGAAACUGUUUUACAGCUUUUUCUGAGCGACGUUUUUUCAAGUAUAGGAACGUUAACGCAAACAUUUAUACGAAGCUGGUCUGUAUUCAAAGUGAGGUUGAUGGACUUUUUUAAAAAGUUGUAUUCGUCACAGUUCUCAGACCGCUCCGAAUUCAAACGCUGACGUUUCUCACUAUGGCGGAAGCCGUACAAGCUGGGUUAGCGAUCAGCGCUAAGUUCAAGUUCAGUGUAAUCUGAGCAGUUCGUAAUAAUUUAGCGACACACAGUAUGAGCGUAACGUUGGUGUUCCUGAUGAUUCUAUCACAAUAUACUUUUUGUUUUUUCAGAAUCUAACAGCGAUGUGCCAAAAAGGAAAGCCUAAAUCUAUACGUGUAAUUAGCUAGUUUAUGCUAGGCGUUUAUGUUGCACAGUUGCCUAGCAACAGUGUUGUUACAUGGUCAAGCUUAGCUUCCUUAUUACACAUGAAUUCAUUAUGAAGAGAAAGUGUAAGGAUCUAGGCAAAACUUUCAAAAUUGUGAAUUAGCUAGCUAGCUAGUUUAUUCUGGCACUUUAUGAGGAUCUGUACCUGACUUUACACACUGUUUAGGGAAUUUCACAAUUUUAUCGUAAACAUUGUGCCGAAAUCCCAUCAAGUACCUUUAACUCAGCGGCAACGCUGGGGUUUUUGCGUUACAGAAUACUACACAACAUGGCAAUGAACAUAUUAAACAAUAGUUAAACGCUCCUUUGUUUUAAACUCUGGAUAAAAUGAGAUUCCUUUCCUCCUUUCUUUAAACCCUACAAUAAAGCCAGACUUUAUAGCACAGGAUCCUCAUCUGCACUCUACACAUGUGUGAAAUGUGCUUUUAUGGAAAUACUGACAGAAAUCCCAGCCGAGGCUCUGAAAACAGUGUGUCACGGCGGCCUUUUCCAGCUGUGGUCAUUACUUCCUCAGACGACGACUCAUUCAGCAACAGGAUCUCCAUUUUUACCCAUGUGACAUGUAGAGGAUGUGAGCUGUGAGACUGGGAGGAAGGAUCAGUCCACACAACAUCCUUAUGAAAAGAAAACAGGCUUGCUACCGUUCGAGCCGGGUUUCAGCCAUCUUUUAGUCUUUUUCCUCUGCAGACCCACGCCUUCCUUCCUUCCUGCACAUCACUCGCUUCUCAGGUUGCAGAGCUACAACCAUCCGUUUCUUUCCUUAUCCAUUUAUUUAUGAUGUCCUUUUAUUCAACACACCUCCCAGUUAUUUCAUUAAAUAUGUAUAUACUGUAUAUUACUUCACCAAACUACACAGCGCUUUAAAUGUUGGCGUUUGCGCCCAGCUCUCCAAGUUCACUAUCAAUACAUUUCCAAAACCAUUCAGUAUUUUAGUUUUGAGAUUCCUCUAAAAUCCAAUAAAUAAAUAAAUAAAUAAAAAUACGGACUGGCACCUUGUUGAGGAAUAUUUCCUUUCCUUCUACAGAGAAACUUCAGUUUUUCUAAAUACAAUUAUUAUGUAAGUAGUCUGUGAUUAAAACUUGCAGUCCUACAUGGUAUCACUGAAAAUUUCUCUCAAUUGACAUAAACGUACACGAACAUUAAUAUAUCAGUAUUAUAUUGAAUAAAUCUCUUAUCAGAGUGAACCAAGACGGGGAUCCAGACUAAAAACAUACUAUUUGUACGUAAAAGCGACUUAUUCAAC
This is a long non-coding RNA of Ictalurus punctatus (channel catfish), 2134 nucleotides long. The record is from Ensembl. NCBI's taxonomy places the organism in Eukaryota, Metazoa, Chordata, Actinopteri, Siluriformes, Ictaluridae.